RNAcentral lists this ribosomal RNA (503 nucleotides) under uncultured bacterium. RNAcentral describes it as "bacterial SSU rRNA". It matches the Rfam family "Bacterial small subunit ribosomal RNA", at positions 43 to 518 of the family's 1533-position model. The record is from RNAcentral.
CGUGCCUAAUACAUGCAAGUCGAACGGUCUUUCUAUGGAAGCUUGCUUCCACUGAGAAGAUAGUGGCGAACGGGUGAGUAACACGUGGGUAACCUGCCCAUAAGAGGGGGGAUAACAUCCGGAAACGGGUGCUAAUACCGCAUAGUUUUCUUGAUUGCAUGAUUGAGAAAGGAAAGACGGCCUUUGUGCUGUCGCUUAUGGAUGGACCCGCGGCGUAUUAGUUAGUUGGUGAGGUAACGGCUCACCAAGACGAUGAUACGUAGCCGACCUGAGAGGGUGAUCGGCCACAUUGGGACUGAGACACGGCCCAAACUCCUACGGGAGGCAGCAGUAGGGAAUCUUCCGCAAUGGACGAAAGUCUGACGGAGCAACGCCGCGUGAGUGAAAGAAGGUUUUCGGAUCGUAAAACUCUGUUGUCAGAGAAGAACAAGUUGGAGAGUAACUGCUCCAGCCUUGACGGUAUCUGACCAGAAAGCCACGGCUAACUACGUGCCAGCCGCCGC